RNAcentral lists this ribosomal RNA (400 nucleotides) under uncultured bacterium. Its description in RNAcentral is "bacterial SSU rRNA". It matches the Rfam family "Bacterial small subunit ribosomal RNA", at positions 355 to 746 of the family's 1533-position model. The record is from RNAcentral.
UAGGGAAUUUUGCACAAUGGGCGCAAGCCUGAUGCAGCAACGCCGCGUGAGUGAAGAAGGCUCUUGGGUUGUAAAGCUCUUUCGGCUGGAAAGAAGGGAUUGCUCGCGAACAGUUAGCAAUUCUGACGGUACCAGAAGAAGAAGCACCUGCUAACUACGUGCCAGCAGCAGCGGUAAUACGUAGGGUGCAAGCGUUGUUCGGAAUUACUGGGCGUAAAGGGCGCGUAGGCGGGCCUGUAUGUCGAUUGUGAAAGCCCCGAGCUCAACUUGGGAAUUGCAGUCGAAACUGCAGGUCUUGAAUGCCUGAGGGGAUGGCGGAAUUCCCGGUGUAGAAGUGAAAUUCGUAGAUAUCGGGAAGAACACCUGAGGCGAAGGCGGCUAUCUGGCGGUGCAUUGACGC